Molecule: ribosomal RNA, 478 nt
Filed under: uncultured bacterium
Lineage: Bacteria
Description: partial 16S ribosomal RNA
Rfam family: Bacterial small subunit ribosomal RNA
Source: RNAcentral
GACGAACGCUGGCGGCGUGCCUAACACAUGCAAGUCGAGCGAUGAAAUUCCUUCGGGAAUGGAUUAGCGGCGGACGGGUGGGUAACACGUGGGUAACCUGCCUCAUAGAGGGGAAUAGCCUUCCGAAAGGAAGAUUAAUACCGCAUAAUGUAGUACCUUCGCAUGAAGGAACUAUCACAAGAGCAAUCUGCUAUGAGAUGGACCCGCGGCGCAUUAGCUAGUUGGUGAGGUAACGGCUCACCAAGGCGACGAUGCGUAGCCGACCUGAGAGGGUGAUCGGCCACAUUGGAACUGAGACACGGUCCAGACUCCUACGGGAGGCAGCAGUGGGGAAUAUUGCGCAAUGGGGGAAACCCUGACGCAGCAACGCCGCGUGAAUGAAGAAGGCCUUCGGGUUGUAAAGUUCUGUCUUAUGGGAAGAUAAUGACGGUACCAUAGGAGGAAGCCACGGCUAACUACGUGCCAGCAGCCGCGGUAA